ACUUCUUUAGUUUAUAUUUGUAAAAUUUAGUUUUGAUAAGGCUAAGAUGUAAGAGGUA
This 58-nucleotide transfer RNA is filed under the name Philometra sp. HZ-2022. RNAcentral describes it as "tRNA-Ile". Lineage: Eukaryota; Metazoa; Nematoda; Chromadorea; Rhabditida; Philometridae. The record is from RNAcentral.